CGGGGUGCACCAGGCGCGAAAACUUUACAAUGCUGGAAACAGCGAUAGGGGGACCUCGAGUGCCAGGAUACAAUCCUGGCUGUCGUUGUGUCUAAAAAACACAAUAUAGCAAGGGCCGGGCAAGACCGGUGCCAGCCGCCGCGGUAACACCGGCGGCUCGAGUGGUAACCGCUAUUAUUGGGUCUAAAGGGUCUGUAGCCGGCUGAAAAAGUCUCUUGGGAAAUCCGGCCGCUCAACGGUCGGGCGUUCAGGAGAUACUCUUCGGCUCGAGACCGGGAGAGGUGAGAGGUACUUCAUGGGUAGGGGUGAAAUCUUGUAAUCCUUGAAGGACCACCAGUGGCGAAGGCGUCUCACCAGAACGGAUCUGACGGCAAGGGACGAAAGCUAGGGGCACGAACCGGAUUAGAUACCCGGGUAGUCCUAGCCGUAAACGAUACUCGCUAGGUGUCGGCCACGGUGCGACCGUGGUCGGUGCCGUAGGGAAGCCGUGAAGCGAGCCACCUGGGAAGUACGGCCGCAAGGCUGAAACUUAAAGGAAUUGGCGGGGGAGCACAAGGGCAAUUCG
RNAcentral lists this ribosomal RNA (565 nucleotides) under uncultured archaeon. RNAcentral describes it as "bacterial SSU rRNA". It matches the Rfam family "Archaeal small subunit ribosomal RNA", at positions 326 to 891 of the family's 1478-position model. The record is from RNAcentral.